CUCUAGGCUGCCGCGGCGGCUCUAGGCUGGGCUGCUGGGCGCGGGGCCAGGGCGGGCCGGGAGAGGCUGCGCCGGCGGCGGAUCGCGCAGAGGGCGGUGGCCUGGGCCGGCCGAACCAUGGCGGCCCCGGAGCCGGCGCCGAGGCGGGCCCGGGAACGGGAGCGGGAGCGGGAGGACGAGAGCGAGGACGAGAGCGACAUCCUGGAGGAAAGCCCGUGUGGUCGCUGGCAAAAGCGACGGGAGCAGGUAAACCAGGGGAACAUGCCAGGGCUUCAGAGCACCUUCCUAGCCAUGGACACGGAGGAGGGGGUAGAGGUGGUGUGGAACGAGCUCCACUUUGGAGACAGGAAGGCCUUCGCGGCGCACGAGGUGAGACCGCUGCCCCCUCCUCAUCCUGCUUGGGUGACCACCUGCUGACCACCCAGCGACCACCCUCCCUCCCCAGGAGAAGAUCCAGACCGUGUUCGAGCAGCUGGUGCUGGUGGACCACCCGAACAUCGUGAAGUUGCACAAGUACUGGCUGGAUACCUCUGAGGCCUGCGCGAGGGUCAUCUUCAUCACAGAGUACGUGUCAUCCGGCAGCCUCAAGCAAUUCCUCAAAAAGACCAAGAAGAACCACAAGGCCAUGAACGCCCGGGUAUGGGGAGCGGGCUGGGGCAGCCACGGGGACAGGACGGGGUUGGGGCAGCCUCGGGGACUGGGAUGGUGAGGGGGUGCCCGGCGGCCUCGGACGGGGGCUGGGCGAGGAUGCGGGGCGGGCUCCGCAGGCCCAGCCGCCUCUCCUGCGCCCACCCGACGGAGUCGUGCGUCCGCCGCCAGGCCUGGAAGCGCUGGUGCACGCAGAUCCUGUCUGCGCUCAGCUUCCUGCACGCUUGCAGCCCCCCGAUCAUCCACGGGAACCUGACCAGCGACACCAUCUUCAUUCAGCACAACGGCCUCAUCAAGAUCGGCUCCGUGUGGCACCGAAUCUUCUCCAAUGGUAAGUGCGGACUUUGGGGGGAUGGGGUCCUGGAGAGGUCCCCACCCGCUCAGCUCUGCGCCCUUCCACAGCGCUUCCAGAUGAUCUCCGAAGCCCCAUCCGCGCUGAGCGAGAGGAACUUCGGAACCUGCACUUCUUCCCCCCAGAGUAUGGCGGUGAGUGGCGCUGGGUCCGGGCGCCCCGUGCCUGCCCUGCGCUUCUCUCCUACCUGUCCUGUGCUCUCUUCUGUUCAGAGGUGGCCGAUGGGACCGCUGUGGACAUCUUCUCCUUUGGGAUGUGUGCGCUGGAGAUGGCUGUACUGGAAAUCCAGACCAAUGGGGACACCCGGGUAACAGAGGAGGCCAUUGCUCGCGCCAGGCACUCGCUGAGUGACCCCAACAUGCGGGAGUUCAUCCUUUGCUGCCUGGCCCGGGACCCUGCCCGCCGGCCCUCUGCCCACAGCCUCCUCUUCCACCGCGUGCUCUUCGAGGUGCACUCGCUGAAGCUCCUGGCAGCCCACUGCUUCAUCCAGCACCAGUACCUCAUGCCUGAGAAUGUGGUGGAGGAGAAGACCAAGGCCAUGGACCUGCACGCAGUCUUGGCGGAGCUUCCCCGGCCCCGCAGGCCCCCGUUGCAGUGGCGGUACUCGGAGGUCUCCUUCAUGGAGCUGGACAAAUUCCUGGAGGAUGUCAGGUGAGAACUGAUGUAAGGUUGGGGGCCAGGCAGCUGUCAGGCCUGAACCCCCAGCCACCCUGUUGUGUCCCCAGGAAUGGAAUCUACCCACUGAUGAACUUUGCAGCCACUCGGCCCCUGGGGCUGCCCCGUGUGCUGGCCCCACCCCCGGAGGAGGUCCAAAAGGCCAAGACCCCGACGCCAGAGCCCUUUGACUCUGAGACCAGAAAGGUCAUCCAGAUGCAGUGCAACCUGGAGAGAAGCGAGGACAAGGCGCGCUGGCAUCUCACUCUGCUUCUGGUGCUGGAAGACCGGCUGCACCGGCAGCUGACCUACGACCUGCUCCCAACGGACAGCGCCCAGGACCUCGCCUCGGAGCUCGUGCACUAUGGCUUCCUCCACGAGGACGACCGGAUGAAGCUGGCCGCCUUCCUGGAGAGCACCUUCCUCAAGUACCGUGGGACCCAGGCCUGACCCGGAGCCCCAGCCCCAGGGGACCAUGCCGGGGUGCUGCCCGGGCAGGCCAUGUUGGGGAGACCCCAGCACCGUGGGGCUGCCCUCCUCCAUGCGCCUGGGAGCACAAAGGCCCCGGUAGUGAAGGAACCCCCGCCUCCUGAGAGUGGGGCUGACCCUGCCUCGGGCGCCGAGGGGUUGGGGGGUGGGUGUGGGGGAGCCGUUAGGCCUCCCAGGUCCUUAGGAUCAGGGUUGCCCCCAGAACCCCUUCCCAUAUCCUCCAUUCUCCGCCCUGAGUUCCUACCCAGGCUGCCUGGCCAGGGCCACUGCCUCCUCAGCAUGCAGGAGGCUGCCCUGUAGGGAACCCCAGCUCUGGGGCUUGGGGGUGAGGGUCAGCCCUGGACAGACCUCUGCCCAGGGAACUGCUCCAUGGGGUCUGGGAGAGCAGCCAUCCCCGGCUGGCACCAUAGACCCACACAAGGAGCCUGCACAGCAAGCCAGCGGUGACACACCUGCAGGUGUCAGGCAUGGCACUGGGCACAACAGGGACCUGGCAGGAGAAACAGACCACAGAGAGGUCUGGAGUUGAGGCUGUCGUCAGCAAAGCCCCUGGUCCCACACAGCUCUGCCCUAGAGCCACCUCUUUGACCCUUUACCCACCCUGAGACCAGAACCUGCAGCCCCUCUGCAGAUCUCCUCUGGCCACUGCAGCCCCUCCAAUGGGCUUUUUCUCUCAUGCAUUCCCUGGCCUGGAGGCGUCAGGGACCCCACAUCCUCCCUGCUCCUCAGACUCACACCCCCUCCAUGUUACCUCCCGCACCUCCUCCCUGGGGCAGCUGCUCCCUGGGCCUCUGAGGAUGUCAGCUCCUGGCUCCCUGCCUCUCUCCCACUCCACUCCUGGCUCAGUCUUAGAGAUUUCUAUGCCCUCAUGGAUUCUACCCCUGCCUUCCUAGCCUCUUGAUUCUUGGCUUGCCUCUCCUCCAAUUCCAAACUUAGUGAAAUGGCCUUAAGCAUUUUAAACUGUAUGUAUAAAUUUAGUGCAUUCAUGCCUUUUUAAAAGCAUUUCAAAUGUCAACCAGGAAGGCACACCACUGUAUUAGUUUUAUACUGCCGCUGUAAAAUUUACCACAAACUUAGUGACUUAACACAAAUUUAUUGCAAUUCUGUAGGAUGGAAGUCUGACUAUGGGGUCUCACUGGACUAGAAUCAAGGCUGGCAGGCUGCCUUCCUUCCUGGAGGUUCUAGGGGAGACUCUGUCUCCUGCUCCUUCAGGCUGCUGGCAGAAUCCACAUCCUUUCGGUGGCAGGGCCAAGGUCCCCACUUUCUUGCUGACUGUAAACUAAGGCCACUUCCAGCUUGUAGAGGCUGCCUACAUUCCUUGGCUCUUGGCCCCCUCCUCCAUCUUCAAAGCUAGCAGGUUCAGUCUGUGUCACGAACCACUUUCUCUGGUUCUCUGCAGACAGGAAAGGUUGUCCCUAAGGACUCAUGAGAUUAGGUUGGGCCCAGCCAGAUAAUACAUGAUAAUCUCCCUCCUCAAGGUUUUUUAAUAUUAAACACAUCUGCAGGACACAUUUUGCCAUGUAAACUAACAUUCACUGGUUCCAGGGAUUAAGGAAUGAACCUCUUGUUGGGGAAGGGUGGCAUUCUGCUGACCACAGCACUCCAACCAAAAGCCAAAAACCAAAGCAAGACUUAACUAACGCAUAUCAAAUAAAUUAAAUGCACAAAAUCGUGAAUCUGUUAUCUUAAAUAUUCCAAUACUAUUUACAAAAUUAUUCAAAUUCUCACGCCUUCCAACUCAAAAUUAGCAAUCUAAAGUAAUUUCCAUAUCCUAGCUGGAAACCCUCAUGCUAAACUGUCUGAUUAUGCAUGGUUCUAAAUGGUUUCAGUGGCAAAUACAUAACAUUGUACUACUGAUUAAACUGAACUUAAAAGCAUCAAUACUACCAUUGCUGCACUUAAUCAUGUCUCUGUUGAAUUUUUCCUUUUAAAUUUUAUCUUUUCAGAAUUAUAUAUGUAUUGUUUUUAAAGUAGAAUAGUUUUUUUUUUUUGAGGCCAGUAAUAAAUAAUAAUUGCAGGCUCCUACUCUGA
Molecule: small RNA, 4174 nt
Filed under: Pan troglodytes (chimpanzee)
Lineage: Eukaryota; Metazoa; Chordata; Mammalia; Primates; Hominidae
Description: retained intron
Source: RNAcentral